Daphnia pulex (common water flea) is the source of this 4368-nucleotide RNA transcript. It is a transcript of the gene named tyrosine-protein phosphatase non-receptor type 13-like, with no coding region annotated. NCBI's taxonomy places the organism in Eukaryota, Metazoa, Arthropoda, Branchiopoda, Diplostraca, Daphniidae. The record is from RefSeq and is a predicted model, not a curated record. The transcript has 17 exons.
AUUGCCAAUACUGGUUCCUGUUGGUAAAGUUGGUCACCUUGAUAGAUCUCGUUUGUUCGUCUCCUCCCAUCUCAUAUACAUCCACAAAGCUCUACCAGCACCACCAUCUCUACUGCUCCAUUCAAGUUGCUUGACCGGUGGAGGAGAUAAUGUUGGUGUCUGCGGAGGAGGUGUUGGACGUCAGAGGUUCGCUUCUCCACGUAACCGAAACUGAAGCCAUCUUAUUGCAGUUGCUGCGACAAUUAUCUCUACAUCAGCAUAAUAAAGCAGAUUGCCGACCGGCAUCAGAGACUGAACUGCGCCUUAAACACAUUCUGCUAGAAGCUUCCGGACAAGUUCAACUGCACAGAGACGUAGCCCACACACGAUGGAGCGUUAGCCAACUGGCUCGAGUGUUGGCCGGCGCCAGCGGUGGAUUCGCAAUCGGCGCUCGGACGCUGCUGCAAAAUUUCGCCGAUCCGUCCGUCCGUUCCGUUCCAGUGGAUCGUGCCAUUCAAAUUCUCAAGUUAAGAAUUCAGCCGGCCAUUGCAGCCCGUUACGUUGCGGCUUUGUAUGGUGAAGUGCUGGCCAGAGAGUCCGCCAAGCUGACGGCCAAGGGCAGGGUCGGUCAUAGUCGUGGAGAAGAUUGUUCGUCAACGGAAGACUCGGCCAUUUCUUCUGACCAUUUAUCACGGCAUCCGUCUACCGACAGUCUCAAUCGUUUCACCAGCAUGGCCAACCAAUCGGAUACUACCGGACAUAGUACGCCGCCAGAGCAUUAUGGAGUCUUUCGGAGAAGGCGGCCUAUCCGCUUGGCUCGAGCUCGGAGCAGCGUUGGAGACGGCGGACCUACUGGAGCGCUCAAGAAUUUAGCCUGGGCAGCUAAUGCAGCUAUUCAGCGGGCCCCGUCUCGCCUCUAUCGACUCCAUGACCAGCCAUCCUCGACUCCUUCCUUGUCGUCGUCGGCGGCGGCGGCAGCGUUUCAUCCGCGCAAGAGUCAGUCAUUCCGCGAUCUGAAGGUGUCCAUCGAGCGAGAAGAUGAGCCGGCCAUCUGUCCCGUUACUUGCUGCGGUCCGGAAUUCAUCGUCAAGAGUAGCUUACCUCCCUACGUGGUCAUUUUACCACAUCAACCGAAAAAGAAAAAAUCUGUGAACAUUUUGCACUUGGAUGGGCGUCGUUUACACGUCGAGUGUGACCCGGGCAAAACAAGAAUUAAUCAACUCAUGCAGAUGGUGAUGGAUCACUUUGGAAUCGCGGCCAGUGACGCCAUAUUUUUCGGAUUGUCUUGUAUCAAAGGCGGCCAUUUCGUAUUUCCUAGACUUGACGAAAAAGUCAGCUGUUUGGCCCCCGACAACUAUAAACAAUUGCCCUAUCCCAGCUUCAACGUUUACUUCCGAUUCCGGUUUUAUGUUCACUCUGUUUUCACUUUGCACAGUUUGGAAAGCGAACAUCUACUCUAUCUCCAAUUAAGAAAAGACUUGCUGGAACAACGCUGGGUUAUGGAUCCAAUGGAGGAAAUGGGACUGGCCGCCCUGGCCCUGACGAUAGAAUUCGGAACUUAUAACCCAAAGAUUCACGGAGUGGGUGGGUCGUACUUCCACGUCGAUCAUUACCUGAGUGCUGGAACGCAACAGAGUGUCAAAGGCGGCGAACUAGCUGCCCAGGCCCUACAGCGUCUGCACGGUCGCAUUCCGACGCUGGUGGAAAGACGCGUAGUCGAAUGCAAUUUCGUCAAACGGAUCAUGCAAACUCAAUCCUAUGGAUAUCAUCACGUACACGUUAUCGAGGACGACGGAUUGAGGACGACUCCGCUCAAUUUGCUGGUGGGACUUGAAGGACUCAAAUUGGUCCCUCACGCCACCUCGACUUCGUUUGGCACUUCCCUCAAACACGUCAGCUUGUACUGGGAAGACAUCAAGAGUCUCACUCACUCUAAACACCACAUCGUGCUGACGUCCGGAAUAGGAAAUUCCAUCCGCAAGCGGCGACUUUGCGUUGGAACCUCGCGGAUUCGAAACACGUUCGAUUUGUUGAUUUCCCACCAAAAGAUGGCGCUGGAACUGAAAAAGCGCAAACUGCUAAUACGAUCCGAGUCUGCCACUUUGCCGAAACUGCGUCACAAUAGACCGGCGAGUUUUAUCGAACCGGUCAAGACUCCCGUGGAGCCCGUCAAAUCAUUGUCCAGCGCCACCCUGCCACGUCCGUCCAACGCUGUCAGAAUCUACGUGCCUUUCGGAGGUGUCCAGAAGCGACCCGACACGAAUGAUAUUACAACUCGGGUGAUUGACGUCAAAUCUAAUAUUCCUAUGCCGGAACUUGUUCCAGUGACGUCAGCAGAAUCCUCCCAAUACUCUACGCUGAGUUCCCUCUCCGAAUCCACCGUUCCUACUAGCCCUCGUAAAAGCACUCUGGUCCGAAUGGGAACGAAAAUAUCGUCCGACGCUCUCAUUCGCGAGAAAAUGCGUCUCCAAGAAGUCAGCUUCAGCGAACGCGUCGUAUCUGGAGAUCCUUCCGGCGCCUACGUCGUCGAUACCAGCGUCAAAUCGGAGGAUGAAUCGCUGGUUUUCGACGCCCAGGAGAGCAUGUCGCAGUCGUUGACGGAACGGUUCAACCGCCUACCACGUCUUCCAUCACCAACUCGACAACACGGAGUCACCGUCAGAUUUUCCAAAGAUCCUGAUGGUUCGCUGGGCAUUUUGAUUGCUCGCGGCGUACGUGGCGGUAUCUACCUGAUGGGACUGACGCCCAAUGGCGCUGCUCAUCGGCAGACCUCACUCAAACCAGGUAAGCGCGAAAUUAUGAGCCUCUAUUUGGACUAAUCUGUUAAAAGGGAACAAAGGAGCAGAUGGUGAUCUUGUGAUGGGUUAUUAUCACGUGGGUGAUUGACAGCUUUCCACUUUCUCUCUCCUCUUUUGCGGCCUUCCAGUUAUCGAGGUCAUCAAAGUUUUUAUUUUUUCUUCCCCCUGUCUUGUCUUUUAUAAUCUUGUGCCAAAGAGAAAGAUCGUAUUGUCGAAACGAAGAGGGAACUCGGAAAAUCUUGAAAUUGUUUAUACUCGUUGAAUGCGAUCGCGUCCGCUUUGGAGAUGAGUCUACGCUACACGACGGGGAUUAUCCAGACUUUUAAAAAGAGGGGAAAAAAAGAUGCGACCUUGCUUUCACCAACAAAACUCACUUGUUUGUUAGCAAAAAAAUUGAGAAAAGAACCUCUCACCUGCGUUCCGUCUGUCCGCUAUAUAAAGACGAACUCAUUCGUUAGGUUAGUCAGAUCUCUUCUUGCUUCCGACCAAAGUGCAAGUUCAGAUUUUCAGUUUGCUUCGAGAGAGAAAAAGAAAUGGUUUCUUUAAAGGUUAUUGUAGUGCUGCUGGCCGUGCUGUGCGGAGCUCUGGCUCUGCCGGCUGGCACUUUGCCGCGCGUUUCCAAGGAACGAGCCGUCGUUGCUAAGGAGGAACCGAUCGAACUAGCCAGGGAUUACGCUUUCAACUACGACAUUCAAGAUGGUUUCGUCGGCAUGACUCAUUCACGCAGUGAGGUUCAGCGCAACGGAAUUGUCAGGGGCUUCUAUCGCUACAGCCGGCCCGACGGCGUUCUUGUUACUGUCACUUACACAGCUGACGAAACGGGCUUCCAUCCCGUCAUCACCGAAGAAGCGGCUCCCAAUUUGUUCUCGCCCAGCGCUGUUCAAACCAUGUACUCGUCGGACAAUCCUGAGCAGAUCAAAAUCACUCUCACCGAGGACGAUGUCGAUUUGACUCGUCAAAAAGCCGAAGCUGCCAAAGUGGCCGGCACUAAAUUGAGAACUCGAGUCCAAUCGAGAUCUGAGACUAAUUCGCAAUUAAUCGAUGAGAAAAAUUCCCGUUUUUCUAGAAUGCUUAUUCCUGUGAAAAUCCCCGCUGUCAACUCGCAAACGCGUUUUAAUUAUUACGAACAAGUCUAGUUGGCCGCCGCAAGAUGGCAGCGCAUACUCAUUUUCGUCAACAUUUUCUCGUCCAGCCCUUUUGUCCUUUACCUCCUCCUACCUAUCUAUUCUCCAAUCAAUUUUUGCAAAAUCUCCUCAACGAAAUAAACGACGAGAAAGAAAAAAGAAAAGUAGCAUGAAUAAUUUGUUUUCUCCAUUUGGAACCGAUGGGCGUUGUUCCAUUUCGUUUUCCUUUUAGCUGUGUGAGGCUCUGGAACAAACGAGAUGGAAAUAGAAUUCGGGGAAGGUUUUGAUAGGAUUUGAUAGUCGACAUUUUCCUUCACUUGUACUUUUUAUGUAGCGCACCCUGGAAAAUUCUUGAAAGCGUUCCAUGAACAAUGGAAUUAACUUGACGGUUGAAGGUGGGGGCUACGACCGCUGCAAUGUUUCUUUCUAAAAUAAAUCGGUCGUGCAAUGCGCGCCCAAUAUGUUAA